This 1228-nucleotide ribosomal RNA is filed under the name metagenome. RNAcentral's name for it is "bacterial SSU rRNA". It matches the Rfam family "Archaeal small subunit ribosomal RNA", at positions 205 to 1445 of the family's 1478-position model. The record is from RNAcentral.
GGGGAUGGGGCCGCGACCGAUCAGGUAGUUGGUGAGGCAAUGGCUCACCAAGCCUUUUACCGGUGCGGGCCGUGAGAGCGGGAGCCCGGAGAUGGGCACUGAGACAAGGGCCCAGGCCCCACGGGGCGCAGCAGUCGCGAAAACUUUGCAAUACACGAAAGUGUGACAGGGCUAUCCCGAGUGCCAUCCGCUGAGGAAGGCUUUUACCCAGUAUAAAUAGCUGGGAGAAUAAGGAGAGGGCAAGUCUGGUGUCAGCCGCCGCGGUAAUACCAGCUCUCCGAGUAGUGUGGACGUUUAUUGGGCCUAAAGCAUCCGUAGCUUGCUAGAUAAGUCCUCUGUUAAAUCCACCGAUUCAAUCGUUGGAUUGCGGGGGAUACUGUUUGGCUAGGGGACGGGAGAGGUCGACGGUAUUUCCGGGGUAGGGGUGAAAUCCUAUAAUCCCGGGAAGACCACCAGUGGCGAAGGCUGUCGACUAGAACGCGCCCGACGGUGAGGGAUGAAAGCUGGGGGAGCGAACCGGAUUAGAUACCCGGGUAGUCCCAGCUGUAAACGAUGCAGGCUAGGUGUUUGGGCGGCCACGAGCCGCCCUAGUGCCGCAGGGAAGCUGUUAAGCCUGCCGCCUGGGGAGUACGGCCGCAAGGCUGAAACUUAAAGGAAUUGGCGGGGGAGCACCACAAGGGGUGAAGCUUGCGGUUUAAUUGGGGCAACGCCGGAAAUCUCACCGGGAUCGACAGCAGUAUGAAGGCCAGAUUAAAGGUCUUGCUAGACGAGCUGAGAGGAGCUGCAUGGCCGUCGCCAGUUCGUGCCGUGAGGUGUCCUGUUAUCAGGCAACGAUCGAGACCCGCGUCCUCUGUUGCUACUGGUUUUGUGCCAGGCACACUGAGGAGACCGCCGCUGAUAAAGCGGAGGAAGGAGCGGGCCACGGCAGGUCAGUAUGCCCCGAAUAUCCCGGGCCACACGCGAGCUGCAAUGGCAGGUACAAUGGGUUCCGACCUCGUAAGGGGAAGGCAAUCUCGAAAGCCUGCCGUAGUUGGGAUCGAGGGUUGAAACUCACCCUCGUGAACAUGGAAUCCCUAGUAAUCGCGUGUCACUAGCGCGCGGUGAAUACGUCCCUGCUCCUUGCACACACCGCCCGUCGUUCCACCCGAGCGACUCCUGGGUGAGGCGUGGUCUUCCUUGGCUGCGUCGAAUCUGGGUUUCGCAGGGGGGGAAAAGUCGUAACAAGGUG